Long non-coding RNA from Xenopus tropicalis (tropical clawed frog), 973 nucleotides. RefSeq lists it as uncharacterized. The transcript is spliced from 5 exons. Lineage: Eukaryota; Metazoa; Chordata; Amphibia; Anura; Pipidae. The record is from RefSeq and is a predicted model, not a curated record.
CUCUCCUAAAAUGUACAUCGUAUUUUCCCCUGCAAUCAAGUGUGACGGCAGAUUGGACCCCCAUAUUCCGCACUGUCCCGCCUCAGGGUUGGGUCGGCUGCCUCUCCUACAUUGUUUCCUUCCCGGCCCGCCUCCUCUCCUAGAGUGAAGGGAUUUCCAGCCAAUUCCAGACAACAAUGCAGUAGGGCGGACAUGUUCUGUGUGCCAAGGAUCACCUUCAGUAGCUGCAAUAUCCUGGCAGCCUCCUGUCUCUGGCUGCUGCGCUUGAAUGAUGAAGGCUCCUACUGCUUGUGCUGCCGGUUUUGUCAAAGCCAUAGUAUGCAGGUGGUCUGAUAUCCUAGCAAAACACCUCUUACAGCUGCAGGGGUAAGGUGUGCUACACAAGUAGACGCUGGCUGGCACCUUCUCCCCUGCAAAGCAUAUUUCGUUGGAAGUCCGUCUGGAAUGUGAAAAGCAUAGGAUGAGUUAAAUCUACUGUGUAGCUCAGUAGUUGCACCUGAUGAGUUUGUGCUCUGCCAAAUGUGACAAUGCUGUACUUCCUUCACAGUGAACCGACACCUUCAGAAACAGCAAAGCAGGAAUUUCAGUGGUUUAUUGCUUUCCUUGCCAUUCACAUGCAUUCCUGGUUAGAGAGCAGUUUAGCUGAUGUCGGCAAACAAAAUGUGCCCUCUUGUGGCCCAGUGCGCUGGUAAUGCAACUAAAUAUGACAAGCCAAAUGGUUAUAACUGAUAAACAAUGCAUUUUAGAAGUGCCUGGACUUUUUGGCUCUAUUGGGAACAAGAAACUGAAAAGCUUAUGAAAUACAUGUAUGGAAAUGCACAUGUUUUAGAAACAUUUUCCUGGAGUUUGUGAUAGCCUUGAUUUAUUUAUUGCACUUAUUCUCUGAAUUUGUUUGCAAUGUUGCAGUUGUAUGCUUAAGAGCAAAGAAUUAAAAUAUAUAUUUACUUAUAAUAAAAUGAUGCUAUUUAAUGUA